AGGGGGUUAAAGUUUUGCUAAAACAUUUUUACUCUGUCAUAGGAAAAAACCUUAGCUAGCUUUGCAAUUUUAAUGAUUAUUCCUUUUAAAGAGUAUUUGUCUAAUAUAUGUUUAAUAAUCGGUUUAAAAUUUACCUCCGAUGUGUCACCACGGUUUACUUUAGCUUUACAUGUAUUACAAAUUGCAAGCUUUGUGUCGUCUUCACUCACACACAGUGAAGAACUUCCACACUAAUGACAUGUUAGCAUGUGGGUAUGAGUGAUCCCAUGGCUGUGAGGCUAUUAUCUGCACCGCUGUGCAUAUGAUGUGUGGUGCAUGCGCAGAAUGGACUAGUUCGGUAUCGGAAAUGCAUGAGAUCGGCUGGUCUCCAGUCUGGGCCGAGCACAUUGAAAGACAGCCAAUUUCGGUCCCUGGAUGAUCGAUCGGUGCAUCUCUAUUACAUACGCCUCUGUCUUUCUACCCCUGAGGGAACCAGGUUUGCUCUUCCAGUCCUUGCAUUCAUCAGCCUGAAUAGCUGAGAACAGCUAGAAUGACUUAUGUGUUAUUGGUUGUGCAGUAACAUGAGCAGUUCUUUUUUUUUUUAUGUGCGUCUGUGUGUCUCAAAUUGACCUCCUACACUGCCAGGGGAUGCUGUGUGAAAAGUAAAGAGACAGAGCGUGACUGUGAACUUCUGUCGUUCAGCCAUAGGUUAAGCUGCUCUGCAUGGAUGCAGUAAGUGAAGAUAUUUGACGGAUACUGUAUUGGUGCGACAGAAAUAUGAGAUGUAACAAUGCACAGAACAAAUUCAAAUUAACUUGGCUGAAUUUCUAUCCCUGAAGCUUAUUUGUUAAAGGUCCAUCACAAAUACUUUCUGUGCAUAACUGUCCAUUGCCUUGUGAAUAUCAAAGAUAUUUAAAGGUGCCCAGCAAAUGCAGAUGAAUUAUGGGCUUUGUGUGAAUGUAUUUGAUUAGAAGCACAUGUGUUGUUACAGCCAGUACUGGUAAGUGUCAUUUCCGGCUUCCUCCUGGAGGGGCCGUUAAGGCUGCAGGAGUAUGUAAGCAUGAAAAAUUGACUUCCUAUUGGAGCCCUUUUGCAUUUCUAUGGCUGCUCUCUGAAUGUUAGCCACAUAACAAUGAGUAUUUUUGACACUGCGUUGUGUUUCGGAGGAGCUGUUAUUUUUAAGUAUGUGGUCUAUUUCCUUUAGGCUUGGGUGGUGGCAGUGGGACAUGACCUGUUUGGUGAGAGCCUUGCAGCAGGACUGCCUGUACUGCCACCUUGCCUCAGUUUUACUUGUUACAGACUGACAGUUGGCUAAUUGACCAUAUGUGCUCUGGCUGAGGUCUUCAGGACAGUGAUCUACUUAACACUGAACUUCUAGGUACUAUGAACGAACUAAUAUUCCUGCACUGUUUAUGUUACUUUGCAAAUCACAGCCACCUUGCUAUGAGUGGGGACUGAAUGCCAUUCUGUGUCCAGAGCAUUUCUUAGCAGAGUCAUGAGAAAUGUUCAAAGAUGGAACCUUCUGUUCCGGGGCUUUGCCUAUUUAAAGGGCCUUGUAAUAUCUCCCCACCUUUCCUCUUUUAUCUGUAACUCCCUUUCUCUUCAGUGCCUUGCUGAUAGGUUUCCACAUGACACCCCCCAGAAUUAGAUCUGACCUUCUCCGUAUUCUGUAUUGCAGACUCUUACGCCUCAAAUUUUCACCGUAGUGUUUGACUCCUACUGAUCUGGUCACUGAAGAUGGCAGGUUUACGUACCUGGAGCUACACAGAAGUCUCCUGUGAUGUGGGAUUUUGGGGACGGAGCAAGGAUCCUAUGACAAUUGAGGACUCAAUGAUAAUGUUUUUUUUCUCCCUCAGUACCUUAUUUGGAGCAAGUCAGUUCUGGGUCCUACACAGCUUUGCACCAAAGCUUAAUGCGCAACCUGUUGUGUGAAACCAAUGUGAAAAUGAACAUCUUUUUUUUUAACCCAUCUGUGAAGAUAGCUGUAUGCAGACGCCUCCAGUAUAAUCUUAAUAUACAGCAAAAACCGAAUAACACUGUUCUUUAUGCUACGAUUGCAAAGUCAUGUCUGUGAUGGCUGCCGAUAUAUUAAACACUGAAUUUAAAUUAUUUGAAAUUAUGUUCUGUACUGUACUGUUGGACACAGCAUUGCAAAUGUAGUUUUAAUUUUGAUUCAAUUACAUUUUGAUUUGUAUGAGUUGGUCUGCAGUGUUAUUUUUCUCAGUAUUCAUAUUCCAGCAUUACUGAAGGUUUCAAUUGAAUGUCAGUUUUUAUUUGCUGUGCUGGUGUUGGAGAAUGGUUACUUUCAACAUGUUUCUUUUAAUACAACAUAAGUAUGAGUUAAGACCCAACAUGGUUGAUAAAAGCUUGAUUUUCUUCAUUUUGUGUGUUUUUCCAUUUUAGUUUUUUAAUUUAGUUUUUAGAUUAGAUAAAUAGGUAAUAUAGAUAUUAGAAUUAAAUUGAUAAACUUCUUAUACAUACAACAGCAAGAACAUAGAGCACAAACAAACAAUAUACAUUAGUGCAAGACAGACAAGGUGCAAAAACAGAACACACAGUGCAAUCUAAUUAAAAAGUCUGCAGUACAAAAAAACUGAGAAGCAGAAUAUUAUAGACUAUCAAGGAAGUAAAUAUUAGGGAUGGGGGGAUGGUAUUUGUGGAAUUAAAAAAAACAGCUUUGUGUUAUGGCUGGGAUAGGGAGUGGAAAUACAAGCAUGUUUCCACUUGGUUUCAAACUGUGAACCUUUUGGCUGUGAGCAAACAUGGUAGCCACAAUCUAUGGAAACCGAAGAUUGGUACUUUUAAAUACCUACCAGUGCUUCAACGGACCUCCAGUGGAUAGUGCAUUUACUUAAAGCCCCUCCCCACAUCUCUGCUUAUAGACCUGUUUUCAUUUUGCAGUGGUCGGGUUCCAGAAAACCCCUAAAUGGUAUGAAAUACUAGCUUGUGGCACACCUCCAGUGUCCCUGGAGCUGUGCCAAGAUGGUGUUUGUUAGUGCGAGUGAAUGUUUCUCUUUGUGGCUUAUCAAGCAGCUGGUUCCUAAGGAUUUGUCAUAGAGUGUACCAUACCUGUUAAAACCUAUAGCCAGUUUCACUGGUAGCUAAUCUGUCACACAUGAUCAUACAUACCAGUACUGUGAUUGAUGGGAAAUAAGAUUCAUUGACUACGAGCAUAUCUUCCAGCUUUUUGAAAACACUGUAGAUAGUCCAAGCAGUUUAGUUGUGCCUUUUUGAUGGAUUGUUGAUUUUGUACAAUACUAAUAGGUCGGCUUACGUCUUAUUCUUUAUUUCUUCAUGUAAUGUAUGCUUAAUUCUCUCAAGCACUUGAGAGAACCAGGGAAGGGAAAGUGGCCGAAUUUGCAUGCCUAUCAGCCCCUUAUAGCCUUUACAUCAAGUUUCUUAAUAUUUCAAGAUUGAGGGUAGGCCGUUGGGUAUGUUUUAUAUUCCAGCCAAAAAGCAUGGGAGUAAAGAUGGCAUCUGUGCUGAUGAUACGUUUUACCUUGUGCUGCGUAAUAAUAAUGCAAGAACCAAUGAUGGCUUUGGGUCCCAUGAAUGAUGUGUGUUUGGAAUGGUGUAGGUGGUCCGGUGUCACUGCACAGGGAAGCUGACAGGACCUGACAGUAAAAUUAUGCUCUUCCCAUUGUGUAUGGAGUGGGAAUAAGGCAAGCUAAGGCAGAGGCUGAUGUCUGUCCCCAUUCAAGCUACCAGCAUUCGGUUGUAUACUGUAAAUUGGUGACCGAUCGAUAGGUAAGGCACUCUGACACGAGAAAUGUGGAGGCUGUGAGUUCCUGUUUACCAGAAACUGUUUUUGUUUACAUGUUCUAAAAAUAAGACUGAUGGAUUGUACAGUCCACAUGGUUCCUCGAAGAUAAAAAUUGCAGUAAUGUCUUCCUCCAGUUUCAUAAAUAGGUUUUAGUUUUGAUGUCACUUGGUGUACAUGCCCCUGUGUCCUGAGUAUUUUCAUAGGUCCUUGUUUUGAUAGCCAGAUAUUCCAGAGUUGGAUAGCCGGUGAUUAUGACGGCCGGUGAAGUCUGGUGUAAUUUUAUCCAGAGGGGAUGCCAGCAUCUUUUUAACUUCAUAAUAGACUGUAUGGUCAUGUGGUUACAUCAUCCUGAGUCAUGGGACCAGGGUCCAGAAUCCAACAGAGGUGGAGUGUGGGACCUCCAGGCGAAACCAGCCAGUAUCCGUCAUAUUUGGUUGUAUGCUUAAGUCUCUCAAGCACUUGGGAGAACCAGGGAAGGGAAAGUGGCCAAAUUUGGAUGCCUAUCAGCCCCUUAUAGCCUUUGCAUCAAGGUUUUUAAUAUUUCAAGAUUGGGGGUAGGCUGUUGGGUAUGUUUUAUAUUCCAGCCAAAAAUUGUCCAGUCAACACUCUCCAAAAUGGUAACGCUUGAAUAUUCCUCAUCAUUGGUAGAGGUGGAUGGCUGCCUCCCAGGGUCUCUCACUGAACGAUCAGGACAUUUCACAGGUUCCUCUUCUAUCAGUCUUUGAUCACCCUCACUGAUCAGCCUCUGCUACACUUGGGCCUUCAUCUGUGUCCCCUGCCUUCAACACACCCUUGCUGGAAUUAUGAACCGCACAGACUGCAACAAGAGGCAACAAACACUGUAAGUAGAGACUUCUGAGAUGGGCCAUGCAUAGUGGAGUGUGCGAGCGGGCCCCGGCACUCACGUGGAAGUCUACCCUGGCCCGGGUUUCACAAUGCCUGCACUGGAUCACGAGCAGGACCCCUAAGAGUCAGGUCAAAGGGUGUAGUAUCAGUCCCAUCUGAGAUGACCCCCUGAACCUCAGAGGAGCCUGGAACUGUCACUGGGAAAUGGAUGUUGGAGGAGCUUCACCAUCAGCAUGCAUGCUAGCCCUGACCAUUCAUAUCCUGCCUGGUGCUCUAUAACAUUCUUUGCAGUAGCCAUCGAAUAAUGUCUUUCUGGAUGGGUCAUAUCCUAUACACCAUUACUAUUAUAUGUUAUUUGAUAGAUGUCUGACAGUGCUGUCAGCAUGUUAAAUUAUUGUGAGAGAAUUAUUGAAUUAAGAAUUUGUGUUUUAAACCUGAGUGACAUGUUGGAUAAUGAAAAUUGGGUGGGCAAGGGGUGAUUGGGGAAAUGCAGUAUAGAUGGCUUAAUUAAGUAUUUACUUUGGAAUAUCUUGUACGCUUAUUGCGUUGGGGGGGGUUUUUAUUAAAAAUUGACAAAUUUACCUGUGGUUGUCUAACCUCGUAACUGGUGGGGGAAAGAUAUACAGAAGAUUUAUGUGAUCAUAAAAUAACUCCUUAAGUAUUA
Molecule: non-coding RNA, 5252 nt
Organism: Paramormyrops kingsleyae
Lineage: Eukaryota; Metazoa; Chordata; Actinopteri; Osteoglossiformes; Mormyridae
Source: RefSeq, a predicted model, not a curated record